This 529-nucleotide long non-coding RNA is filed under the name Lepisosteus oculatus (spotted gar). RNAcentral's name for it is "lncRNA (ENSLOCG00000021425.1)". The record is from RNAcentral. Lineage: Eukaryota; Metazoa; Chordata; Actinopteri; Semionotiformes; Lepisosteidae.
CUUCAUCUGCGUUUCCAAACUAUUCAUGUCACAAGAGAUUGUAACAGUACUACAUAGCGAAUGAUUCGGAAACCUUCAAAUGCUGGUAUUGGGCUGUUGGUCUUAUUGCUUUGUCAUGUGCUGAGAUUCUGCAUUACAAAUGUAUUUCUCAGUUUCAGAAGAGAUGUGAUACCUCCAGAUACAGUACAGCCCAGGGUUCUGGGUGACCAUUCAACACAGGAGAGCUGCUCUAGGCCACUGUCUUAUUCUUCAUUGACUGCAGCUCACCUUGUCCUGAAGUCAGUUAUCCACCAGGAGCAGGCACUACCAUGCUUAAGAGGAGCUCUUUUGAGAAAAAAGUUGUAGAAGGCUUUGGUAAGACUACAAAGGAACAAGUAAUUGGUUAACUCCAUGCUGAAAAGAGAAGAAAGAAAACAACGUUUCGGCCGGAGAGCCUUCUUCAGGUGUAAGAAAGACAGGGCAGUAAGCAAAGGUAAUGUAGCUGGAGAACAAAAGCUGGGUGAGAGGAGGAGCGAGGGGUGGGAGCAGG